RNAcentral lists this ribosomal RNA (253 nucleotides) under uncultured bacterium. RNAcentral's name for it is "partial 16S ribosomal RNA". It matches the Rfam family "Bacterial small subunit ribosomal RNA", at positions 524 to 776 of the family's 1533-position model. The record is from RNAcentral.
UACGGAGGGUGCAAGCGUUGUUCGGAAUCACUGGGCGUAAAGGGCGUGUAGGCGGUCCGCUAAGUCUGAUGUGAAAGCCCGGGGCUCACCCCCGGAAGUGCAUUGGAAACUGACGGACUCGAGUCCCGGAGAGGAGGGUGGAAUUCCUGGUGUAGCGGUGAAAUGCGUAGAUAUCGUGAGGAACACCAGAGGCGAAGGCGGCUACCUGGACAAUUGCUGACGCUCAGGCACGAAAGCGUGGGGAGCAAAAGGG